Molecule: transfer RNA, 65 nt
Filed under: Mesopodagrion tibetanum
Lineage: Eukaryota; Metazoa; Arthropoda; Insecta; Odonata; Megapodagrionidae
Description: tRNA-Ile
Source: RNAcentral
AAUAAAGUGCCUGAGAUAUAGGGCCAUUUUGAUAGAAUGGAAAACGCGGUCACCCGCCUUUAUUA